Molecule: ribosomal RNA, 888 nt
Filed under: uncultured Bacillota bacterium
Lineage: Bacteria; Bacillati; Bacillota
Description: bacterial SSU rRNA
Rfam family: Bacterial small subunit ribosomal RNA
Source: RNAcentral
CAAGUCGAACGCGAAAGUCCCCUUCGGGGGGCAAGUAGAGUGGCGCACGGGUGAGUAACACGUAGGUAAUCUACCUUUGGAUUGGGAAUAACAACCGGAAACGGUUGCUAAUACCGAAUAAUGCAGCGGCACCUAGUGGUGACAGUUGUUAAAGCGGGGGAUCGCAAGACCUCGCGUCUGAAGAGGAGCCUGCGGCAGAUUAGCUAGUUGGUAAGGUAACGGCUUACCAAGGCUAUGAUCUGUAGCCGGCCUGAGAGGGCGGUCGGCCACACUGACACUGACAUACGGGUCAGACUCCUACGGGAGGCAGCAGUCGGGAAUUUUGGGCAAUGGGCGCAAGCCUGACCCAGCAACGCCGCGUGAAGGAUGAAAUCCUUCGGGAUGUAAACUUCGCAAGAACGGGAAGAAUAAGUGAGAGUUAAUAUCUCUUACGAUGACGGUACUGUUUGUAAGCUCCGGCUAACUCCGUGCCAGCAGCCGCGGUAAUACGGGGGGAGCAAGCGUUGUUCGGAUUUACUGGGCGUAAAGGGCGUGUAGGCGGCCACCGCAAGUCGACUGUGAAAUCUCCGGGCUUAACCCGGAAAGGUCAGCCGAUACUGCGGGGCUAGAGUGCAGAAGGGGCAACUGGAAUUCUCGGUGUAGCGGUGAAAUGCGUAGAUAUCGAGAGGAACACCUGCGGCGAAGGCGGGUUGCUGGGCUGACACUGACGCUGAUGCGCGAAAGCUAGGGGAGCGAACGGGAUUAGAUACCCCCGGUAGUCCUAGCCUUAAACGAUGAAUGCUUGGUGUCUGGGGUUUUAUAGUCCCCGGGUGCCGUCGCUAACGCUUUAGCAUUCCGCCUGGGGAGUACGGUCGCGAGACUGAAACUCAAAGGAAUUGACGGGGACCC